GGCACUUUUGAAAAUGAAGGUUCAUGGCUGAAUAAAUGCUCUGCGAAUGCCAUCUUACCAGCAAUACAUAAGCGAACAGCUGACAUAUCCUCAUGGCCGCUAUAGGGGGCGCUAAAGCAGUACUUCUCACUUCACCAAACACACUGUGCAGACAGAGGAGAGGGGAAAAUGUAGUAAGAUGCUUGCCCUGCUCAGUGUCCUCCUGCUUUCAUCACAUGUCCUUCCUCUCGUCCAAUCACAGUCAUGCGAUGACAAAACAGAGUACUUAAAUGACAAAACAUGCUGCACAAAAUGUAAACCAGGAGAGUAUGUGUUAGAGAACUGCAUACAAAAAAUGCCUGUUACUCUGUGUGCCCCAUGUGGAAAUGGCUUCUUCACGGAUGACUAUAACAGCAAUUACAACUGGUGCUAUCAUUGUACAACGUGCUCCAAAGACCAUAUGAAGUAUGAGAAGAAUUGUACGGCGACAAGUGAUGCAGUGUGCACGUGUGUUGAAGGCUACAGAUGCAGAGACAGUAAAUGCCAGGAGUGUGAGAAGAUUCAGACAGCUACUGUUUCUUCUCCUGCUUCUACUAAAACAAUACCGCCCACCCAUGAUAUAAUGUGGAUCUCGGUGAGUCUGUGUUGUGCGUGUGUGUGUGUGUGUGUUCUGCUCACCUGUUUCCUUCUCAUCAGCAGACAUGCACGACAAUAUGGAUGGAUCAUGCCAACAUCACCCGGUCAGUGCUACUAUAGACAACACAUCAGUGCUUUAAUUCACAAAGAAAACCUGCUC
Molecule: long non-coding RNA, 775 nt
Filed under: Sinocyclocheilus grahami
Lineage: Eukaryota; Metazoa; Chordata; Actinopteri; Cypriniformes; Cyprinidae
Description: lncRNA (ENSSGRG00000029833.1)
Source: RNAcentral